GCCUCCAUUGGCGCAAUCGGCUAGCGCGUUCGGCUGUUAACCGGGUUGGUGGUUCGAGCCCACCGGGGGCA
Molecule: transfer RNA, 71 nt
Filed under: Trichonephila inaurata madagascariensis
Lineage: Eukaryota; Metazoa; Arthropoda; Arachnida; Araneae; Nephilidae
Description: tRNA-Asn
Rfam family: tRNA
About the family: Transfer RNA (tRNA) molecules are approximately 80 nucleotides in length. Their secondary structure includes four short double-helical elements and three loops (D, anti-codon, and T loops).
Source: RNAcentral